This 350-nucleotide ribosomal RNA is filed under the name Spirosomataceae bacterium. Its description in RNAcentral is "partial 23S ribosomal RNA". It matches the Rfam family "Bacterial large subunit ribosomal RNA", at positions 2561 to 2925 of the family's 2925-position model. Lineage: Bacteria; Pseudomonadati; Bacteroidota; Cytophagia; Cytophagales; Spirosomataceae. The record is from RNAcentral.
GGUCCCAAGGGUUCGGCUGUUCGCCGAUUAAAGUGGCACGCGAGCUGGGUUCAGAACGUCGUGAGACAGUUCGGUCCCUAUCUGUGAUGGGCGUAGGAAGUUUGACGGGGGCUGACCUUAGUACGAGAGGACCGGGUUGGGCUCACCGCUGGUGAAUCGGUUGUCACGCCAGUGGCACGGCCGAGUAGCUACGUGGGUAAGGGAUAAGCGCUGAAAGCAUCUAAGUGCGAAACCUGCCUGAAGAUGAGACUUCCAUGAGGGACGUUAGAGACGAUGACGUUGAUAGGCUGCAGGUGUAAAGGUGGUGACACCAAAGCCGAGCAGUACUAAUGGCCCGAAACCUUCUUCAA